This 391-nucleotide unclassified non-coding RNA is filed under the name soil metagenome. Its description in RNAcentral is "partial contains 5.8S ribosomal RNA, internal transcribed spacer 2, and large subunit ribosomal RNA". The stretch from base 1 to 121 matches the Rfam family "5.8S ribosomal RNA", at positions 35 to 154 of the family's 154-position model. The record is from RNAcentral.
GAUGAAGAACGUAGCGAAGUGCGAUAAGUAGUGUGAAUUGCAGAAUUUCGUGAAUCAUCGAAUCUUUGAACGCAAAUUGCACUCUCCGGUUUUCCGGGAGAGUAUGCCUGUUUGAGGUUCAGCCUAAAUAAAUUCGGCUUCGUUGCUGUUGUUUUCGCGGUAACGUUUUUAGUCGGGAUUUGGGUCAUCUUAAACCGAAAGGUUUUUAAGCGACUUAAAAUUUUUUUACGAUCCCACGAACGUUUCUAAGUACUUCUUACACGUUCAGGGUAUCGAAAACCCCUAUUAGGCGUGGCCGUCGUAUCGGAUCGCGUCCAUAAUAUUUAUUCUUUAACUGACCUCAGACAGGUAAGAAUACCCGCUGAACUUAAGCAUAUCAAUAAGCGGAGGA